GAGUAACCUGCCCUAGAGUGGGGGACAACAGCUGUAAACGACUGCUAAUACCGCAUAAGCCCACGGUACCGCAUGGCACUGAGGGAAAAGGAUUUAUUCGCUUUAGGAUGGACUCGCGUCCAAUUAGCUAGUUGGUGAGGUAACGGCCCACCAAGGCGACGAUUGGUAGCCGGACUGAGAGGUUGAACGGCCACAUUGGGACUGAGACACGGCCCAGACUCCUACGGGAGGCAGCAGUGGGGGAUAUUGCACAAUGGGGGAAACCCUGAUGCAGCGACGCCGCGUGGAGGAAGAAGGUUUUCGGAUUGUAAACUCCUGUCGUUAGGGACGAUAAUGACGGUACCUAAUAAGAAAGCACCGGCUAACUACGUGCCAGCAGCCGCGGUAAAACGUAGGGUGCAAGCGUUGUCCGGAAUUACUGGGUGUAAAGGGAGCGCAGGCGGGAAGACAAGUUGGAAGUGAAAACCAUGGGCUCAACCCAUG
RNAcentral lists this ribosomal RNA (483 nucleotides) under uncultured bacterium. Its description in RNAcentral is "bacterial SSU rRNA". It matches the Rfam family "Bacterial small subunit ribosomal RNA", at positions 119 to 618 of the family's 1533-position model. The record is from RNAcentral.